ACACACACACACACACACACACACACACACAGAAGCUUUACAAGUUCUGAUACAUGACUUCUGAAUUUUCGAAAUGAUCGCAGUUUUAUUAUUCUUGAUAUUUCUGCUAGUUGGAUUAGUAUACAAAUAUUUGUUUAAUGAUGAUAUACAAAAAGAUAUUUUCUCUUGCUGUAAAGGUUGUCGACACGUACAUGCCUUGCCUCUGAUAAUGCAUUGCGGGACAAAUCUAGAGGACAAUAAAUUAUUAUACGCUCUCAACAAAGUAUCACAUCCGAAUCUGGAUUUUUACCAAAAUAGAAUCAAGUCUGAACCCAACGGUGAUUUCAUUGAAAAUAUUCUACGUAAAUGGUCUCAGAAUUAUGAGUGUCUGGAGAAGAAAGCAGGUUAUGUUGAAUGGUUAUUUCCAACUCCAGAAGAUGCAACGUCUCACAAAUAUUCUUCACCACUCACUUGUUAUGAAUCUCGUAUAAUGCAAAAUGACAUUAAAAUCCAAAAAAGAUACCUUCGCAGUUUCAGAAUGAUGCUAAACUUUUUGGGUUUUCAAUUAACAAAGUCUAUGCAGAUUGUUCUCACUCCAGAAGUUAAUCAAAGAUUCUGUCAUUUACAAAACCCUGAGUGAAGCAGACCCAUGAUUAAUAAGGCACUGCAGUCAGGAAUAUCCAGUAGAUUUUAGGAGUAUCAAGAACUAAUUUAUCCA
Molecule: unclassified non-coding RNA, 697 nt
Filed under: Octopus sinensis (East Asian common octopus)
Lineage: Eukaryota; Metazoa; Mollusca; Cephalopoda; Octopoda; Octopodidae
Description: opioid growth factor receptor-like protein 1, transcript variant X2
Source: RNAcentral